RNAcentral lists this ribosomal RNA (301 nucleotides) under uncultured bacterium. RNAcentral's name for it is "partial 16S ribosomal RNA". It matches the Rfam family "Bacterial small subunit ribosomal RNA", at positions 509 to 807 of the family's 1533-position model. The record is from RNAcentral.
CAGUAGCCGCGGGAAUACGAAGGGGACUAGCGUUGUUCGGAAUCACUGGGCGUAAAGCGCACGUAGGCGGAUUUGUAAGUCAGGGGUGAAAUCCCGGGGCUCAACCUCGGAACUGCCUUUGAUACUGCGAAUCUUGAGUCCGAUAGAGGUGGGUGGAAUUCCUAGUGUAGAGGUGAAAUUCGUAGAUAUUAGGAAGAACACCGGUGGCGAAGGCGGCCCACUGGAUCGGUACUGACGCUGAGGUGCGAAAGCGUGGGGAGCAAACAGGAUUAGAUACCCCCGUAGUCCCUGUCUCUUAUAC